GCGAAGGUAGCUCAGCUGGCAGAGCGUAUGAUGCCAAUGUGGAGGUCGCGGGAUCGUAACCCGUUCUUCGCUC
Molecule: transfer RNA, 73 nt
Filed under: Mycobacterium phage Rabinovish
Lineage: Duplodnaviria; Heunggongvirae; Uroviricota; Caudoviricetes
Description: tRNA-Gly
Source: RNAcentral